ACUCAAAUGAAUUGACGGGGGCCCGCACAAGCAGCGGAGCGUGUGGUUUAAUUCGAUGCAACGCGCAGAACCUUACCUAGGCUUGACAUAGCGGCAGUAGAACCCGGAAACGGGGACGACUCGUUGAGGCGAGCACCGCUACAGAUGCUGCAUGGCUGUCGUCAGCUCGUGCCGUGAGGUGUUGGGUUAAGUCCCGCAACGAGCGCAACCCUCGUCGCCAGUUGCCUUUUCUGGCGAGACCGCCGGGUGCAACCCGGAGGAAGGUGGGGAUGACGUCAAGUCAGCACGGCUCUUACGUCUAGGGCUACACACACGCUACAAUGGCCGGUACAACGGGCAGCGAAGGGGCGACCCGGAGCCAAUCCCACCAAAGCCGGUCUCAGUGGGGAUCGGAGGCUGCAACUCGCCUCCGUGAACGCGGAGUUGCUAGUAACCGCGGGUCAGCACACCGCGGUGAAUACGUUCCCGGGCCUUGUACACACCGCCCGU
Molecule: ribosomal RNA, 489 nt
Filed under: uncultured bacterium
Lineage: Bacteria
Description: partial 16S ribosomal RNA
Rfam family: Bacterial small subunit ribosomal RNA
Source: RNAcentral